ACCCGCUGAACUUAAGCAUAUCAAUAAGCGGAGGAAAAGAAACCAACAGGGAUUGCCCUAGUAACGGCGAGUGAAGCGGCAACAGCUCAAAUUUGAAAUCUGGCGUCUUUGGCGUCCGAGUUGUAAUUUGCAGAGGGCGCUUUGGCAUUGGCAGCGGUCCAAGUUCCUUGGAACAGGACGUCACAGAGGGUGAGAAUCCCGUACGUGGUCGCUAGCCUUUACCGUGUAAAGCCCCUUCGACGAGUCGAGUUGUUUGGGAAUGCAGCUCUAAAUGGGAGGUAAAUUUCUUCUAAAGCUAAAUACUGGCCAGAGACCGAUAGCGCACAAGUAGAGUGAUCGAAAGAUGAAAAGCACUUUGGAAAGAGAGUUAAAAAGCACGUGAAAUUGUUGAAAGGGAAGCGCUUGCAGCCAGACUUGCCUGUAGUUGCUCAUCCGGGUUUUUACCCGGUGCACUCUUCUAUAGGCAGGCCAGCAUCAGUUUGGGCGGUUGGAUAAAGGUCUCUGUCAUGUACCUCUCUUCGGGGAGAACUUAUAGGGGAGACGACAUGCAACCAGUCCGGACUGAGGUCCGCGCAUCUGCUAGGAUGCUGGCGUAAUGGCUGU
Molecule: ribosomal RNA, 603 nt
Filed under: uncultured fungus
Lineage: Eukaryota; Fungi
Description: eukaryotic LSU rRNA
Rfam family: Eukaryotic large subunit ribosomal RNA
Source: RNAcentral